This 497-nucleotide ribosomal RNA is filed under the name uncultured bacterium. RNAcentral's name for it is "partial 16S ribosomal RNA". It matches the Rfam family "Bacterial small subunit ribosomal RNA", at positions 28 to 507 of the family's 1533-position model. The record is from RNAcentral.
GAUGAACGCUGGCGGCGUGCCUAAUACAUGCAAGUCGAGCGAACAGAUGAGGCUCUUUCUCCUCUGACGCUAGCGGCGGACGGGUGAGUAACACGUGUAUAACCUACCUAUAAGACUGGGAUCCCUUCAGGAGACCGGAGCUAAUACCGGAUAAUAUAUUGAACCGCAUGGUUCUAUAGUCCACGCCGUUUUUGCUGUCACUUAUAGAUGGAUCCGCGCCGCAUUAGCUAGUUGGUAAGGUAACGGCUUACCAAGGCAACGAUGCGUAGCCGACCUGAGAGGGUGAUCGGCCACACUGGAACUGAGACACGGUCCAGACUCCUACGGGAGGCAGCAGUAGGGAAUCUUCCGCAAUGGGCGAAAGCCUGACGGAGCAACGCCGCGUGAGUGAUGAAGGUCUUCGGAUCGUAAAACUCUGUUAGUAGGGAAGAACAAAUGUGUAAGUAACUAUGCACGUCUUGACGGUACCUAAUCAGAAAGCAACGGCUAACUACGUG